UUUCCGUAGGUGAACCUGCGGAAGGAUCAGUGCAGAUGGUUGGAGGGCUUGGUCGGGAGACUGGGGCCCUUUGAUGCCUAAUGCGUGUGUGGUGUGGCAGAUUAAUCAAGAGAUAAUGACAAAACUUUUAACAAUGGAUCUCUGGGCUCUU
Molecule: unclassified non-coding RNA, 151 nt
Filed under: soil metagenome
Description: partial contains small subunit ribosomal RNA, internal transcribed spacer 1, and 5.8S ribosomal RNA
Source: RNAcentral